RNAcentral lists this ribosomal RNA (807 nucleotides) under uncultured marine bacterium. RNAcentral describes it as "bacterial SSU rRNA". It matches the Rfam family "Bacterial small subunit ribosomal RNA", at positions 70 to 872 of the family's 1533-position model. The record is from RNAcentral.
GAUGGAAGCUUGCUUCCAGGCGUCGAGUGGCGAACGGGUGAGUAAUGCUUGGGAAUCUGCCCAAUAGUGGGGAACAACUCGGGGAAACUCGGGCUAAUACCGCAUAAUCUCUUCAGAGGAAAGAGGGCCUCUACAUGUAAGCUCUCGCUAAUGGAUGAGCCCAAGUCAGAUUAGCUUGUUGGUAAGGUAACGGCUUACCAAGGCUACGAUCUGUAGCUGGUCUGAGAGGAUGAUCAGCCACACUGGGACUGAGACACGGCCCAGACUCCUACGGGAGGCAGCAGUGGGGAAUAUUGCACAAUGGGCGAAAGCCUGAUGCAGCAAUGCCGCGUGUGAAGAAGGCUCUAGGGUUGUAAAGCACUUUCAAUAAGGAAGAAAAGCAUAAAGUUAAUAACUUUAUGCAUUGACUUAACUUAUACAAGAAGCACCGGCUAAUUCCGUGCCAGCAGCCGCGGUAAUACGGAAGGUGCAAGCGUUAAUCGGAAUUACUGGGCGUAAAGCGCGCGUAGGCUGUUAUCUAAGUCGAAUGUGAAAUCCUCGGGCUCAACCUGGGAACUGCAUCCGAAACUGGAUAACUAGAGUAUGGGAGAGGUAAGUAGAAUUUCCGGUGUAGCGGUGAAACGCGUAGAUAUCGGAAGGAAUACCAGUGGCGAAGGCGGCUUACUGGACCAAUACUGACGCUAAGGUGCGAAAGCGUGGGGAGCGAACAGGAUUAGAUACCCUGGUAGUCCACGCCGUAAACGAUGAGAACUAGAUGUUGGGAGGGUUAGCCUCUCAGUGUCGCAGCUAACGCAUUAAGUUCUCCGC